This 142-nucleotide unclassified non-coding RNA is filed under the name uncultured Westerdykella. RNAcentral's name for it is "sequence contains ITS1". The record is from RNAcentral. Lineage: Eukaryota; Fungi; Ascomycota; Dothideomycetes; Pleosporales; Sporormiaceae.
UCGUGAGGCUCCGGCCUCUUCGAGAGAAAAUCCUUGCCUUUUCGAGCACCUGUUUGUUUCCUCGGGGGCUUCGGCCCCCAAUGGGGACCCUUUAAACUCUUGUAAUAACCUGAAUUAAACGUCUGAAUAAACAAAUAAAUCA